UAGUUGCUAGAAUGUUUUAGGAUAAACUUAGUAAGUGUCAAAGCAAAUGAAACAUAGUGUCUAAAACGAUCUUAAUGACAAAAUAUCGUAUUCUAUUUGUUAGCACAAAUUUGCAAUUAGGUUUUCAUGAUCAAACUAGUUAUAUAAAUUUUUCUCUAAAUACUUUGAAAAAGGAGUUUUGAGAAAGAAAAAAAACGUUUUGGUUUCUAUCUUUUAAAACAAGUGUUUGACAAAAAAUUAAAAAGAGGUUAAAAGUAAAAGAGAAGACCUGAUUAACAGAAAACAAGUGAAGAAGGAAGGCAUCAUCCGAUCAAAGUAAUCAUCCUUCACAAUCUGCAAAAAAAAAAAAAAAAUUAGAUUACAAGUUAAGACAUGUUGAGAUCUGUGUCAUGGUUAAAUAAUAUGAUAGUUAGAAAGAGCAAUUACCACGACUUGAUGAUUCGUAAGCAUUUUGUUGUGGACUAUAGAAGUCAUAUGGAGUCGGAUCCUGCAAAGUGAAAACAACUGUAGCAUUAUUAUAUAAUAUAUCAUAUAAUAAAGUGAAGGCUAAAAACUAAACUCACCUUGUGUGUUGAUGUCUUUUGCUUGACACGACGACCUGGUCAAAGCACUAGCUAGCUUCCUAUUCAAAAAAUGACCCCCGUGUUUCAGAAUUGGAUCUGAUAAAGUAAGAUGGUAGCAGAAAAAUUGAAUGGUCAGACAAAGAUAAGAAUAUACCCUGAAGCAAAGGGUCUCUAUGUGAGGGUUUGUGGCAGGCAAAGGGUCUCCUUCACAAGCACGUUGCCACUUUUUGAUGUAAGAUCAUCAGAAUACGGACUCAUGGAGCUUUUUUGUUUGAAACGUCACAGCCGGUUGAAUCUUUUUUCCUCCUUGCUGAUAUUAGAAAACAACAUUUAAGGGGCUUAUAUAUAAGUAAAGGGUUACCCAAUAUGAGAGGUUAUUCUCUUAUCUCAUCUUCGAAACGAUAACCAAAUAAAUCAAGUCAGAGACUACUUACUGACUUAUUAUACAGAGCAAGAAUAUUGCAAAAUCAGUUACAAAAAUGAAAAAAAUUGCAAAACCAUAAUAAAGAGCAACUAAGAAAUCUCUAAAUCAGACAAAUUAUGUGGCAAGACACACACUAACAUAGUGAAAGACCAACCCCAGUUUGUAAUAAUAACCGAAUUAAAAAAAAAAGUAGCAGUACCUGAAGGAGAGGUCGACGCCAAUGUUGUUUGGGUUGACAAAGUAGAGAAAUAAUGGAAUCGAGAGAGAGAGAGAGAGAGUCACGAUACGAUUUAUAGAGGAAGUAUAAAUGAAGGAGCUGGUGAUCCAAAGAAGAACAUUAACCCUCUAAGCAGAGGAGAAAAACAUCUUUUAUUUCUCAUCAAAGCUAUAUAUUGACAACGGCUAUUUUCUCAUUACAAGACAAAAAGAUU
Molecule: long non-coding RNA, 1418 nt
Filed under: Brassica rapa (field mustard)
Lineage: Eukaryota; Viridiplantae; Streptophyta; Magnoliopsida; Brassicales; Brassicaceae
Description: long non-coding RNA (BRAP_LNC008858)
Source: RNAcentral